AUACGGAGGGUGCAAGCGUUAUCCGGAUUCAUUGGGUUUUAAGGGUACGUAGGCGGAUAGAUAAGUUAGUGGUGAAAUCCCGAAGCUCAACUUCGGAACUGCCAUUAAAACUGUCUAUCUUGAAUUUGGUUGAAGUGGGCGGAAUAUGACAUGUAGCGGUGAAAUGCAUAGAUAUGUCAUGGAACACCGAUAGUGAAGACAGCUCACUAAGCCAAUAUUGACGCUGAGGUACGAAAGCAUGGGUAGCGAACAGGAUUAGAAACCCCAGUAGUCC
RNAcentral lists this ribosomal RNA (274 nucleotides) under uncultured bacterium. RNAcentral's name for it is "partial 16S ribosomal RNA". It matches the Rfam family "Bacterial small subunit ribosomal RNA", at positions 523 to 796 of the family's 1533-position model. The record is from RNAcentral.